RNAcentral lists this long non-coding RNA (323 nucleotides) under Lathyrus oleraceus (garden pea). RNAcentral describes it as "Pisum sativum (pea) long non-coding RNA (PSAT_LNC039833)". The record is from RNAcentral. Lineage: Eukaryota; Viridiplantae; Streptophyta; Magnoliopsida; Fabales; Fabaceae.
AAAGUUUGAUGGAAGCUGGUCUGCUGUUUGGAAGGCUGAUGUUUUUAUUGUUUUUUUGGAAAAUGUAUUUUGUGGCAGUCCUCAUUGAUGCCUGUUGUGUAAUAUUUAGGGCUCUUAAAGAGUUCCUUGGAUUUGUUCAUUAUCUCAGCUAUCAUAGCUGUGUAUAAUGUUUGUUUGUACUUCCUGAAUAUUAUGUUUUAACAUGCUUAAUGUUAUAACAUCUGAUCUAACUUUCUCUGCUAGGCUAAUAGACAUUUAUUUUGUCUGAUUGGUCACCUUUGGUCAAUUUUGACUAAAAAGUGGGAGAAGUGCUGAUAUGGAAG